AAAGCUGGCCGGGCAAUCGCUACAUGACCGCGGUUUUGUAGAGGAAAGUCCGGGCUCCGCAGAGCAGGAUGCCGGCUAACAGCCGGACGUCGUGAGGCGAUGGAAAGUGCAACAGAAAGCAUACCGCCAGCGGCCUGCCCAGGCAGGUGCGGGUAAGGGUGAAAUGGUGAGGUAAGAGCUCACCGCGGACGUGGCAACACGGACGGCACGGUAAACCCCAUCCGGAGCAAGACCAAAUAGGGGGGCAAAAGCGUGGCUCGCGCUGCUCCCGGGUAGGUCGCUCGAGCCGCCAGGUAACUGUCGGCCCAGAUGAAUGAUUGCCUCGAAGUCCGCAAGGUCUUCGGACAGAACCCGGCUUACAGGCCAGCUUUCUAU
This 375-nucleotide RNase P RNA is filed under the name Betaproteobacteria bacterium. RNAcentral describes it as "RNase P RNA component class A". It matches the Rfam family "Bacterial RNase P class A". From Rfam's summary of the family: Ribonuclease P (RNase P) is a ubiquitous endoribonuclease, found in archaea, bacteria and eukarya as well as chloroplasts and mitochondria. Its best characterised activity is the generation of mature 5'-ends of tRNAs by cleaving the 5'-leader elements of precursor-tRNAs. Cellular RNase Ps are ribonucleoproteins. Lineage: Bacteria; Pseudomonadati; Pseudomonadota; Betaproteobacteria. The record is from RNAcentral.